Molecule: ribosomal RNA, 325 nt
Filed under: Escherichia coli
Lineage: Bacteria; Pseudomonadati; Pseudomonadota; Gammaproteobacteria; Enterobacterales; Enterobacteriaceae
Also listed under: 4 other names
Description: bacterial SSU rRNA
Rfam family: Bacterial small subunit ribosomal RNA
Source: RNAcentral
GCCCUUACGACCAGGGCUACACACGUGCUACAAUGGCGCAUACAAAGAGAAGCGACCUCGCGAGAGCAAGCGGACCUCAUAAAGUGCGUCGUAGUCCGGAUUGGAGUCUGCAACUCGACUCCAUGAAGUCGGAAUCGCUAGUAAUCGUGGAUCAGAAUGCCACGGUGAAUACGUUCCCGGGCCUUGUACACACCGCCCGUCACACCAUGGGAGUGGGUUGCAAAAGAAGUAGGUAGCUUAACCUUCGGGAGGGCGCUUACCACUUUGUGAUUCAUGACUGGGGUGAAGUCGUAACAAGGUAACCGUAGGGGAACCUGCGGUUGGA